GACGAACGCUGGCGGCGUGCCUAAUACAUGCAAGUAGAACGCACAGUUUAUACCGUAGCUUGCUACACCAUAAACUGUGAGUUGCGAACGGGUGAGUAACGCGUAGGUAACCUGCCUGGUAGCGGGGGAUAACUAUUGGAAACGAUAGCUAAUACCGCAUAAUAUUAAUUAUUGCAUGAUAAUUGAUUGAAAGAUGCAAUUGCAUCACUACCAGAUGGACCUGCGUUGUAUUAGCUAGUAGGUGAGGUAACGGCUCACCUAGGGGACGAUACAUAGCCGACCUGAGAGGGUGAUCGGCCACACUGGGACUGAGACACGGCCCAGACUCCUACGGGAGGCAGCAGUAGGGAAUCUUCGGCAAUGGACGAAAGUCUGACCGAGCAACGCCGCGUGAGUGAAGAAGGUUUUCGGAUCGUAAAGCUCUGUUGUAAGAGAAGAACGGGUGUGAGAGUGGAAAGUUCACACUGUGACGGUAUCUUACCAGAAAGGGACGGCUAACUACGUG
This 505-nucleotide ribosomal RNA is filed under the name uncultured bacterium. RNAcentral describes it as "partial 16S ribosomal RNA". It matches the Rfam family "Bacterial small subunit ribosomal RNA", at positions 28 to 507 of the family's 1533-position model. The record is from RNAcentral.